RNAcentral lists this ribosomal RNA (427 nucleotides) under uncultured bacterium. RNAcentral's name for it is "partial 16S ribosomal RNA". It matches the Rfam family "Bacterial small subunit ribosomal RNA", at positions 355 to 774 of the family's 1533-position model. The record is from RNAcentral.
UGGGGAAUAUUGCACAAUGGGCGCAAGCCUGAUGCAGCCAUGCCGCGUGUAUGAAGAAGGCCUUCGGGUUGUAAAGUACUUUCAGCGAGGAGGAAGGCGUUGUGGUUAAUAACCGCAACGAUUGACGUUACUCGCAGAAGAAGCACCGGCUAACUCCGUGCCAGCAGCCGCGGUAAUACGGAGGGUGCAAGCGUUAAUCGGAAUUACUGGGCGUAAAGCGCACGCAGGCGGUCUGUCAAGUCGGAUGUGAAAGCCCCGGGCUCAACCUGGGAACUGCAUCCGAAGCUGGCAGGCUAGAGUCUUGUAGAGGGGGGUAGAAUUCCAGGUGUAGCGGUGAAAUGCGUAGAGAUCUGGAGGAAUACCGGUGGCGAAGGCGGCCCCCUGGACAAAGACUGACGCUCAGGUGCGAAAGCGUGGGGAGCAAACA